ACCAUGCCAGGGUGCUCCAAGCCCUGUCCAGCCUGGCCUUGGACACUUCCAGGGAUCCGGGGGCAGCCACAGCUUCUGUGGGCAGCCUGUGCUGGACAGCAGCUUUGAAAGGCAGAAUGUCGUGGAUGUGCUGGCUGUUCUGAUGGAGGGCAGUGAUGGCUUAGAUGAAGGAAUUGUGUUCUCUUUCAAUGAAGACGUGAUUAUCCAAACAUUUCCCUUCAGUGCUGUUGUCCCUGCUGCAUGAGCAGCCAGGAAUAUGCUGUUGUUUCAGUCUGGAAAUGGAACAGGUACAGGGGUUUUUUUAUGUUUUAUGUGUCAUUUCUAGCAGUGGAGUGAAAGCGGCAUCAUUUCUACCCUCUUGUAAUAAUUUUUUACCAUUUAUCAUUUUUUACCUUGAGGUAUUUUUUUAUCUUCCCUGCAAGCAGCAGGAGGUGCAGAUUCACGGUGCUUUGUGCUCAGGAGGGGCAUUGAAGCUCUGUAGGUGCUUCUGCCCUUUUUCCCUGACCCUGAAGAGAAGGGACACUGUCCCUGCAUGGACAGUCUUGGUCUGGAAGUAGCUGGCCUCAGUAACAGCGUUUUAAGGGCAGAGCGUGGCGAUCAGGAGAGGAAGGUGGUUCCCGUGCCUGUGGGCAGCUCUUCCCGAGAGCAGGGAGAGGGGACUGCCUUGUUAAGUAGGA
Lonchura striata (white-rumped munia) is the source of this 677-nucleotide non-coding RNA. Lineage: Eukaryota; Metazoa; Chordata; Aves; Passeriformes; Estrildidae. The record is from RefSeq and is a predicted model, not a curated record.